Molecule: ribosomal RNA, 532 nt
Filed under: Coleosporium asterum
Lineage: Eukaryota; Fungi; Basidiomycota; Pucciniomycetes; Pucciniales; Coleosporiaceae
Description: eukaryotic LSU rRNA
Rfam family: Eukaryotic large subunit ribosomal RNA
Source: RNAcentral
UAGUACGGCGAGUGAAGAGGGAAAAGCCCAAAUUUGUAAUCUGGCUCUUUUAUAGGAGUCCGAGUUGUAAUUUUGAGAACUGUUUUCUGUGCUGGACCAUAUACAAGUCUGUUGGAAAACAGCAUCAUUGAGGGUGAUAAUCCCGUAGAUGAUAUGGACUACCAGUGCAAUAUGAUACAGUCUCUAAGAGUCGAGUUGUUUGGGAAUGCAGCUCAAAGUGGGUGGUAAAUUCCAUCUAAGGCUAAAUAUAGGUGAGAGACCGAUAGCAAACAAGUACCGUGAGGGAAAGAUGAAAAGAACUUUGGAAAGAGAGUUAACAGUACGUGAAAUUGUUAAAAGGGAAACAUUUGAAGUUAGACUUGUUAUUAUUGGUUCAGCUCCUCUUUUUUAAUUAGGAGUUUAUUCCAAUGGUUGACAGACCAGCAUCAAUUUUUGAGUGUUAGAUAAGGGUCUUGGAGAAUGUGGCAACUUUGGUUGUGUUAUAGCUCCUGGCUUGAUAUAAUGCUUAAGAUUGAGGAACGCAGUGAGCUUU